Molecule: ribosomal RNA, 400 nt
Filed under: uncultured bacterium
Lineage: Bacteria
Description: bacterial SSU rRNA
Rfam family: Bacterial small subunit ribosomal RNA
Source: RNAcentral
GGAAUAUUGCACAAUGGGGGAAACCCUGAUGCAGCGACGCCGCGUGAGCGAUGAAGUAUUUCGGUAUGUAAAGCUCUAUCAGCAGGGAAGAAGAUGACGGUACCUGACUAAGAAGCCCCGGCUAACUACGUGCCAGCAGCCGCGGUAAUACGGGGGAUGCAAGCGUUAUCCGGAUUUACUGGGUGUAAAGGGAGCGUAGACGGCGAUGCAAGCCAGAUGUGAAAGCCCGGGGCUCAACCCCGGGACUGCAUUUGGAACUGUAUAGCUAGAGUGUCGGAGAGGCAGGCGGAAUUCCUAGUGUAGCGGUGAAAUGCGUAGAUAUUAGGAGGAACACCAGUGGCGAAGGCGGCCUGCUGGACGAUGACUGACGUUGAGGCUCGAAAGCGUGGGGAGCAAACAG